CCGUCAUGCCCUUAGAUGUUCUGGGCCGCACGCGCGUUACAAUGGCACGUAAAGCGAGUGCUGGCAAAAAAGGCGUAACCGGGGCCGAAAGGCCCUGGUAACCCUUAGUCCCUGCCUUGACUGGGACAGAUCUUUGCAAUUAUUGGUCUCCAACGAGGAAUCUAGUAGCGCAGUC
RNAcentral lists this ribosomal RNA (175 nucleotides) under Fuligo cinerea. RNAcentral's name for it is "partial small subunit ribosomal RNA". It matches the Rfam family "Eukaryotic small subunit ribosomal RNA", at positions 1462 to 1611 of the family's 1831-position model. The record is from RNAcentral. Lineage: Eukaryota; Evosea; Eumycetozoa; Physariida; Physaraceae.